UAUCUGAUUGAUGUCUUAAUCACAUUUUUAAGUCCUAUUUUACCAGCAACAAUGGCUAGGCCUUUGGAAAAAAUCAAGAACCUCAAUGGUUCCAAAUCUCUGUGGAAAAUUGAUGUUCGAGUUGUUGAUUUGUGGACUGUUACUAAUUCAAAGAGCAAACAACAUAUUGAGAUGGUGUUGUGUGACAAAGAGGGUGAUCGAAUUCAAGUAAUUUUGCCAACUGAAUUCAAAGAUAAGUUUAAGAGUAGAAUUGCUGAGAACGCUACUUUCACUCUGCAAGACUUUGAGGUAGAGAAAAAUGAUAUGACCAUCAAAGUAACUGAUCAUCAAUUUAGGUAGGUGUUUAAUGGUGGAACAAGUGUUGACAAACAUGACAUACCUAGACCAUCAUUCAGUUUCAAGGAGUUUGAUGAGAUCAAGAAGGGAAUAGUAAGGCCAGAUGUCCUUAUAGAUGUCAUUGGAGUAUUUCAUGAAUUAGGAUACACUCAAACUGUACCUGGAUCUAGGAAAAUACAAAUCAACUUCUGGAUGAAAGACCUAAAGUAAGUUUUUAUUCCUAUAAUGAUUUAGAAGUCAUUGCGGUUUACUCAAAAAAAUUAAUCCAUUUUCUAUCGAUGUACAGGGGAACAUUAUUAAACUGUACACUGUGGGAAGACUAUGGUCUUCAAUUCCUAAAGUCCAAAUCUGAUUCUGGACCAAUUGUCAUUCUUCUUCACAAUUCUAAAAUUAAGGAAGCCACAAGUUAUUUAUAAUUAACCAGUCAAUUAGUAAUAAUCUACUAAUUCAACACAUAACUGUUUUUGCCAAUACAACUUAUCAUCGUGAUGAGUCAAUAAUUAGUUUUUUUAAUAUAAUAUUUGAGUCCGUUUUAUUUAGAUUUAAGUUUAUUUUAUUUAAGUUUAUUUCCUUUUUAGAAUUAUUUUACUUCAAUUGCAAGUUAAUUAAUUUCAGGAAAAAAUAUUCUAAAGAUUGAGUCUUGGGAGCAAAAGAAAGGGAAUUGGAGCUGAUUCGGAACGAAAAUACGAAGAUUCGGUGCAAAAAUAUAACACCCCCCCAAGUCAGAGAGCUGGCACGGCCCGUGCCACCAGCCACACGGUCGUGCCAUCCUUUAGGAUCCUCUUUUGCUGCUUUUUGCUUCAUGGACAAGCUACCUAUUAGUUUACUUCUGGCCUAAAAGCCCAUGGCUUCUUAUGAAACAUUCUAGUGAUGUAUUUCUUAGGGCUUAAGUCAUUGUAAAUUAUAAAUAGAGUAGCUAGCUAUC
Molecule: long non-coding RNA, 1261 nt
Organism: Medicago truncatula (barrel medic)
Lineage: Eukaryota; Viridiplantae; Streptophyta; Magnoliopsida; Fabales; Fabaceae
Exons: 3
Source: RefSeq, a predicted model, not a curated record